UACGUAGGGUGCGAGCGUUGUCCGGAAUUACUGGGCGUAAAGAGCUCGUAGGUGGUUUGUCGCGUCGUCUGUGAAAUUCCGGGGCUUAACUCCGGGCGUGCAGGCGAUACGGGCAUAACUUGAGUACUGUAGGGGAGACUGGAAUUCCUGGUGUAGCGGUGAAAUGCGCAGAUAUCAGGAGGAACACCGGUGGCGAAGGCGGGUCUCUGGGCAGUAACUGACGCUGAGGAGCGAAAGCAUGGGUAGCGAACAGGAUUAGAUACCCCCGUAGUCCCU
RNAcentral lists this ribosomal RNA (276 nucleotides) under uncultured prokaryote. RNAcentral's name for it is "partial 16S ribosomal RNA". It matches the Rfam family "Bacterial small subunit ribosomal RNA", at positions 524 to 798 of the family's 1533-position model. The record is from RNAcentral.